GCUUUUUAAAACAGUUUGCAUAUUUGUGUGUAUUUUGUUAAUACAUUUGAUUCGUUUUGAAAACUCGAUUAUCCCUACUACUAGCAUUUGUAAAUCAAAACAAUAGAAACCCCAAAUUAAAAAUAAAAAUCCAAAGAGGCCAUUAUUAUAGAAAAAUACCCCCAAAAUAAAAUAAAAAUUAUAAUUAAGUACUAAGUCGAAUUAAAUAGGUCGUGUGCCCACCGUUGAGUCCUCCGUCGCACCGAUCCGCCUAUGUCUGGGGAUUCCCUGUACAGUCAAAUUAGAAGGGUAAGUUUAAAAAAACACAGUGUGUAAUCCCAUAAUAAGCAAACAGACAGAAAGUAAUCACAGUCUGGGCCUAAGCCUAUUUCAGUAAUAGUUUUAGUUUCAAUUAGGCCUUAGCCCAUUACAAUACAGAAGCAGUCAUGUAUUUGGGCCUUUGCCCAUUACAGUAACAGUAUUCAAUAAAGAAACAAAUAUACAGUAUCAAAUUCUACCCUGCCAGCCUCUACACUCCAACUCCGUCUAACCCUACACUCCAUGUGGGGAUAUAAUCAACCCACCCAUCCCUACACUCCAAAAAGUAUCGAAUGCGGCACUAGACAGUAGUUUGCAGCUGAGCUGCCAAUAAUCUAGGCUCGAGGCCUUUCAGUGCACUUAUUCCGAACAAUAUAAACCCCCAACCCAAUGCAAUGCAAUAUCCAGUAAUGACAUGUUAUAUCAUGGCAAUAACGCAUACAAUUUCAAUAUAGUAAAUAUCGUCAUGCUCGAUAACAUGUAUAUAUAUCAGUCAUACAGUCAUUAUUAGUCAAUUAGGGGUCUAGGUAAGCUUAUUGACCCUACAGUAGGUCCACAGUCGUCUCGGGCAACCCGUGCAACCUUAGUAGUCAAACAGUGAGAUUGGGCCCACGGCCCACAUUGCAUGCCCUUGUGCGCCUACACGCCCGUGUGGCCCACACAACCCAAAAUGGCCUUAGCCUCAUGAUCCAUUUUAGUGUAACCCAUGCUAGAUAAUUAUUCAUAUGUGUUUCCACUAUUUACUUGUAUAAUCCUUCAAAGUUGUCUAAUUAAGUCACUUUUACUAAAUUAUUUGUAUCUUAAGCUACAGAAUUUAGAACUAAAGUUUGAAAUUUUCCCUAAAACUAGACUCACAUAUCUUCUUAAGAUAAAAUUUUUAGUAUUUUUGGUUUAGUCAGUAAGUACAGUUUAUUCUUUAAAGUUUCCCCUACUCUGCUGUCUGGCAGUUUUGACCUUUCUGUACUAAAAAUUAAUUAUCUUCUCGUACAAAUUUUGGAUGAUGUUCUUGUUUGUAUAUCUUAAAAGUAUACUCAUUCAGGAUUUUAAAAAUAUAAAAUAUAGUCCAUACUUAUUUUUAUACAAUUUUUAAUAAUUUUUGGAAGUCAGGACAGGGGAUUCCGAAAUCAUUCUGACCCUGUCUCACUAAAAUUCCAUUAUCUCAUAAUAUGAAAUUAUGUUGCUUACUUCGUUUCUUCUAUGAGAAACUAGACUAAAAUAUAUUUAAUCCCAUAUUUUUUCACCCUCUAACUCGAUUCCCACAAUUUAUGGUGUUUUUUUAGAUUUAGCCUACUGCUACUGUCCAAACAGCAAGUAAUAUUAGCUUUUCGCCAAAUCCAUUAUUUUGUGUUUCGGGUAUACACCUGGUAUGGAUUGAUGCUACAACGAUCCUCGAGCACUGCAGAACCUAUAAUUGACCAAUUUCACUCAAUUUAUCAAUUAAUUGAUCGAACUAAAACUAAAUCCGAAACGAGAAACGCAUCCCUUAAGCAAUGAAAUGCUUACCCCAGCACCUCGAAACAGUUGGUUACGCAAUAGCACGAUGAGACCCUUAAUCCACGUGAGAUGCUACUGCCAAAUGCCACAAACCUUCAAAUCAAAGUUGAAUAAAUAAAAUUGUAAGUUAAAGAGAGCAAAAACUCUACUUACCAGAACGUGCGACGAAAAUUGACCCAACCGAACGAAGGUGUGGUAGCCAACAAAAGAGACGGAAACAGAAAGAAUAAUAGAAAGAAAAAAAGUUCGGGUUUGACAACAGAAAGACAAAAGGUGAAGAAGAAAGGAAGAAGAGAUGGCGUCAAAAAAGUGGGGAGUUUUGGGAAAAUCAAAAUUUUACAAAAAGGAAAUGAUAAUGCUCAGAAAAUCUGAUAAUCCCAAAAUCCACUCCCCUAAAUUCUCUCUACCAAACUCCCACUACUCAGAUUUUCAAUACAACUCAAACUCUCUAACUGACGAGCAAAUAAAAAUGUAUUUGUCCUUACAUGCGCGCUGGGAUUCGAAUUCCUAACCCUCUCCCAAAUAACAUUCCCCUUAGCCACCAGACCAGCAAGCCCAUUCUAGCAAUUACUUACAAACUUUUAAUUAAAAGCCUACUAGAGAGAAAUAGGGGUUAAGUAAAAACAAUACUAGAAUUUGCCAAAGUCAAGGCUUGAACUCAAGACCUCCCAAACUCACCAGAGCACUUAACCACAAAUGCCAAUACAUAAUUAUGUCACAUUUUCAAAAUAACAAAAAUAAGAAUUUUGGGGCGUUACAUGUUGCUUCUAAACUCAUAUUCAAAUUUAAUUACUCACAAUAUUAAAAUUAUUAUUUACAAUUGUGAACCAUUUUUUUUGAACCAGGCUGUCUGCUGCUAAUAAUAAGGAAUAUGAUAUGACCUCCAACUUGGGAAAAUGUAGAAGGAAAUAUGAAUGGGUCCCCUACUCCUAAUGGACAAACAUAAAAGCAAAUAUGAAAGGGUCCCCACUCCCAAUGCUGCCUAUUGUAUUCAAAUUUGAUUACUUACAAUAUUAUUGUUAUUUACAAUUAUCAAUAUUUUAUUGACAAAAUCACGGUGUUCAUUAUCGGUAGCAAUGACUAAUCCCUUCGUCGUAGAUGUUAUUCCAAAAAGGAAACGAUGGCCAUUAAAUGUGUUUCAUUCCCAUGGGGUGGGGAUCCAACUCCCAACCUCAUUAUUAAGGGAUUAGUUGAGCAAGGGCCACAUCAUUAUUAAUAACAAAGUUAAAAUGCCAUUAUUAUUGUUUUUAGAAACAAAGAAAAGAACACGAAAGUUGUUUUGUUUUAUAAUAUAAAUGGGAAAUUUGGUAUUUAAGAAGUAGUUAGAUCAAACUGGCUAAACAAUAUUGAAAUUACCAUAAUAGAAGGUUGUAAAAGAAAAUAUGAAAGGUCCCUUCACUCUCGUCACUUCUAAACUUGCAUUUAAGUUUGAUUACUCAUAGUAUUAAAAAUAUUAUUUACAAUUAUGAACCAUUUUUUUUAAAUCAGGCUGUCCGCUACUGAUAACAAUCACUCUGAUUUGACAUCCAACUUAGACAAAUGUAGAAGCAAAUAUCAAUGGAUCCCCUACUCCUACUGGAUAAAUGUAAAAGAAAAUAUGAAAGAGUCUCCACUCCCAACGCCGCCUAAUAAAUUUUACUUUGACUACUCACAAUAUAAUUAUUAUUCACAAUUAUCAAUAUUUUAUUGACAAAAUCACGGUGUUCAUUGUCAGUAGCAAUGACUAAUCCUUUCGUUGUAAGUGCUCUUCAAAGAAGUAAACGGUGGCCAUGGAAUGUGCUCCUGUAACAACCCCUAACCCCAAAUCGUCACCGAAACAGGGUUACGAGGCAUUACCGGACAUAUCAAACAAUUUACAAAUAAUUCUUAAAUAAAUAACCAACAUAUUAAAAUAAUUCGUAAAUUCAUAUAAAUUUUACUAAUUGAUUUCAUUUUUUUUAUAAAAAUUUCGGCAGCAUUUCUGCUUAUUUUUACAUAAAACCCCUGCAAAAUUUCAAAACAUAACCAGCCCAAUUCCAGUAUUUCAAUCAAGGAAUUUAUAUACUUAAAUCUUACUUGACAUAUUGACAUAACAACUUAAUUAAUAAAAAUCCUAUUAUCAUUUCUAAUUAACUCAUAAAACUAAUCAAGUCAUUUCAAUUUGAUACCAAUGCCAUAAAGGACUUUUACCAUUUUACUAAUAUAAUCAUCAAAACACAUAAUAUCUUACUUUACAACAAAACUAUAUAACAUACCAAAAUAACUAUUAUAAUUCUUAUGUACAUGCCACUUUCAUUUAAGGAAGAAAACAUCACCGAAAUCUCUAUGCAAGAGUCGGGAUUGACCUGGAUGCUGAACCGAGACUCAGACCCCUUUUUCAACCUGCGCACGGAAAGAACCGUACGCUGAGUAUUUUAUACUCAGUGGUAUUACCAAAAUUCAAAUUAUAAUAUCAAUAAAGAAUUAUAAUUACGAAGCAUGUAACUAUCCGAUUUCUUAAAUAUCAAUUAAUUCAUAAAUUUUCAUUAUUUAACAAUAACAAUACAAUUUUUAGCUAUUCUUCAAUCUCAAUCACAUAUCACAUGUAGCAAUUUCAAUCACUACAUAAACAUUAAAUUCAUGCCUUUUAUUUUCAAUAUCAAUUUCAAUAUGAAAAAUUUAAAUUUUCUCAUAUUCAAUACCACAAUCGAUCAAAUUCAUUGAUUUUCUCAUUUGAAUUAUUCACCCUAUUAACAAUCUGGACUAUGACAGAUACACGGAUUCCAACCCAAACACACCAAUACGGCAAAUUGUGCCUAAAACGGUCAUAGUACCUGAUCAGUAUACGAAACAUAAGUGCCUAAAAUGACACACGAGGUGCCUGAUACGACACAUAAAGUGCCUGAGAUACGACACAUAAAGUGCCUAAUCGGCAAAGCCGAUAAAUCUCGUACUCUUCCAAAUCCUAUGGCAUGCCAAUUAUAUCCGACUCAGUCCGACUAGUUAAUAGGGUAUUUCUAUUUCACAAUCCAAUUUUCAAGAAUUCAUUUUCAAUAUCAAUUAUACUUUUUCAUUCACUAAUCAAAACACAAUUCGAUAGCAACACAUACUUUACUCAUUCAAUUCAAUUUUCCAAAUUCAAUUCCCAAUCAUAAUUCAUUUCAAAAUUUAUUUUUCCAUUUUCAAUUCAAUAUUCAUUUCAGUUCUAUUCAUAUAUCCAUUAUUCAAUUGAAUUUCUUCCCUCUUAAUAAUAAUACUUAUCUUAUAUUUCACUUACCUUAUUAUUUACUUACCAUACACAUAAUUUAAAUUUAACUUUCAAACAAUUAAAUAAUUUGAAUUAUAGUAAUACAAACCCGGAUUUGCUCGAUUAUUCCUCAACGACCUUCUCCUUCCCUUUUUGUGCCAAUACCUCGAAUUCUUUAUUAGCUACGAAAAUUAAAUAAUUAAAUAAUUAAUUACAGCACAAAUUUUACAAUAAAAAUAAAAUUUCUAUCAAAUUUUAUACUUUAAUUCCAAUUUAAUCCUAACUAGAUUUAUCUACUUUUCUAAUUUAAUUCACACUCUAUUUCUAUUCAAAGUUCUUGUAAACUCAAAUUUAUCUACUAAUUUUUCAGCAUUUUUCACUAAUUUUGAAUUUUCCUCAAUUUAAUCCCUAAAACUCAAAACUUAUAGUUUAGUUUACAAUUCAAUCCUUUAUUCAAUUCCAAAUAAAAUUUCUAUCAAAUAAAUGCUCAAUUCCAUCAUUUAUUCAACAUAAACCCUACUAAAAAAUCUAUUAACUUUCAAAUUUUCAACUUAAAUCCAAGAGUAUUUCAUUCUAGGAUUCCAAAAACAUCAAAUUUAUGAGAAAAUGACUUGAUUUAGCUUACCUAUUAAACUUUAAGCUUCAAAUUCUCAAUUUUCCCCCUUUCUUUUCUUUCCCUUUUUCUUCCUCUGUUUUCGUCUCUUUCUCUGUUUCUUUUCUAUUCUUCUUCUCUUUUUC
Molecule: long non-coding RNA, 5734 nt
Filed under: Gossypium raimondii (Peruvian cotton)
Lineage: Eukaryota; Viridiplantae; Streptophyta; Magnoliopsida; Malvales; Malvaceae
Description: long non-coding RNA (GRAI_LNC007539)
Source: RNAcentral